UUUCAAAUAUUAGAGUAGUUUAAUUUAUAACUCUUUAUUGAUGCCACAUUACAACCUUGAGUCCAAUAAAAAUAGACACAAGAUGGCGCCAAACGUCAUUAAUCGAUAAGCUGCUGGGGAAACAAGUUUAGUUUAUGAUUAAUAGUUCCUCUGCUCAGCACUGCCUGCCUUAUCUGAGGCCGAGAUCUCCGUAAACAGCUGCAGUCGCUCCUCUCUCUCUCAGAUCAGCUGACAAACACCAGAGGGAGUUUUCACCCUCCGACCACACAACCACUGACCUCCCAGCUGUGCGGACUGAAACCAGCCCCUGUCCAGCUUAGACAACUCGGUCACAGACCCGAGGAGUAGACUCCCCGGGCGGCCAAAGCCUCCCUGCCUCCGGAAAGUGAUGCCGACAUGCUGUCAUAGCCCCCCUGCGCCGCGGACAUUCAGCCUCCUUCCCCUCCCGCACCUCCCUGGAUCCUCUCUGGCUGGCUGUCGCGGCAGCGGUGCGGAUGUGGAGCCCGCAACGCAACGUUCUCCAUCCGUCGGCAAGCACCGGAGAAGAUGAAAUGUUUUUCCCGUUACCUCCCGUACAUCUUCCGCCCUCCGAGCACCAUCCUGUCCUCCACUUGCCACACCGAAGAAUUCUUUCAACUCUGGCCUGUAACCUUCUGGCAGCCUGUAGGGGGUUUGAACCCAAUCUGUUCACCUCGGUUGGGAGCCAGACACGGCGACUCUCUAUCAAACCGGACUGCUCUUUGCUCUGGUUGACAAGGCUGCAGGAGGGACAUGGCUGCUAUUUGGAUUCAGAGUAAACAUCUGGAUGGACUUCCUCCUUUUCCCUCCAUCUCCCUCUAUGCCUUCCUGUCUCUGGCUUUACAGAAGGGCCUGCUUGAUGGGAAAAGUGGGACAGAUUGGUGGAAUAAAAUCACAUCGUUAAAUCCUGUUUAUGCUAUCGUCCUUAUUUCCUGUGCUUUGGGUUUAUAUGGUCAGAGUUUGGGUUUAGUCGUGUUUAAGGUUUCCUUUGGAUAAAGAUUACUCAGGCUGAGUGUCGGACUUGCCCAGGUGACAUCCGGGCUCAUUUUGUUUGUACCUCUUAAAGUUGUGUGAAACUGGACACACUGUUAGGAUGGAACUUUAAUGAGGUCAUGCAGCAGCAAAGAGAAGGAUGUUUACCUGAUUAGAACAACAAUGAUUCAGCAAACGAUUCAACAAAUAAUGCUUGUCUUG
This is a non-coding RNA of Nothobranchius furzeri (turquoise killifish), 1212 nucleotides long. The record is from RefSeq and is a predicted model, not a curated record. NCBI's taxonomy places the organism in Eukaryota, Metazoa, Chordata, Actinopteri, Cyprinodontiformes, Nothobranchiidae.